This 497-nucleotide ribosomal RNA is filed under the name uncultured bacterium. RNAcentral's name for it is "partial 16S ribosomal RNA". It matches the Rfam family "Bacterial small subunit ribosomal RNA", at positions 28 to 507 of the family's 1533-position model. The record is from RNAcentral.
GAUGAACGCUGGCGGCGUGCCUAAUACAUGCAAGUCGAGCGAACGGACGAGAAGCUUGCUUCUCUGAUGUUAGCGGCGGACGGGUGAGUAACACGUGGAUAACCUACCUAUAAGACUGGGAUAACUUCGGGAAACCGUAGCUAAUACCGGAUAAUAUUUUGAACCGCAUGGUUCAAAAGUGAAAGACGGUCUUGCUGUCACUUAUAGAUGGAUCCGCGCUGCAUUAGCUAGUUGGUAAGGUAACGGCUUACCAAGGCAACGAUGCAUAGCCGACCUGAGAGGGUGAUCGGCCACACUGGAACUGAGACACGGUCCAGACUCCUACGGGAGGCAGCAGUAGGGAAUCUUCCGCAAUGGGCGAAAGCAUGACGGAGCAACGCCGCGUGAGUGAUGAAGGUCUUCGGAUCGUAAAACUCUGUUAUUAGGGAAGAACAUAUGUGUAAGUAACUGUGCACAUCGUGACGGUACCUAAUCAGAAAGCCACGGCUAACUACGUG